RNAcentral lists this ribosomal RNA (1714 nucleotides) under Dicyemennea eledones. RNAcentral's name for it is "partial 18S ribosomal RNA". The stretch from base 1 to 1222 matches the Rfam family "Eukaryotic small subunit ribosomal RNA", at positions 356 to 1831 of the family's 1831-position model. Lineage: Eukaryota; Metazoa; Dicyemida; Rhombozoa; Dicyemidae. The record is from RNAcentral.
CGGGUAACGGGGAAUCAGGGUUCGGUUCCGGAGAGGGAGCAUGAGAAAUGGCUGCCAGAUCUAUGGAUUGCAGCAGGUGCGUAAAUUAUCCACUUUUGGCAUAAAGAGAUAGUGAUCAUAAAUAGCGGCUUCGGGUAUUUGCCUGGAGAUCGCAAUGAAAUAAUCGUAAAAGCUUUAAUGAAUGCAAUUGGAGGGCAAGUCUGGUGCCAGCAGCCGCGGCAAUUCCAGUUCCAAUAGUGUAUACUAAAGUUGCUGCAGUUGAAAAGCUCGUAGUUGGAUCUCGGCUUGCUAGCGUGUGUGAGCGCGCAAGUAGGCCUUUGCUGUAGUUUCACACUACGGCUUUACCUUGAACAAAAUAGAGUGCUUAAAGCAAGCAUUCUGCUUGAAUAUCUCAGCAUGGAAUAAUAGAAUACGACUUUUCUGUUGGUUUACCAGCAAAAGUAAUGAUUAACAGAGACAGACGGGGGCAUCCGUAUUGCUCCGUUAGAGGUGAAAUUCGUAGAUCGGUGCAGGACGUACUACAGCGAAAGCAUUUGCCAAGGAUGUUUUCAUUAAUCAAGAACGACAGUUGGAGUAUCGAAGUCGAUUAGAUCUCGUCGUAGUUCCAACUAUAAACGAUGCCAACUAGCACUCCGCUGGUAAUAUUUUUUUUACACUAGCGGGUGGCUUCCGGGAAACCAAAGUCUUUGGGCUCCGGGGGAAGUAUGGUUGCAAAGCUGAAACUUAAAGGAAUUGACGGAAGGGCACCACCAGGAGUGGAGCUUGCGGCUCAAUUUGACUCAACACAGAAAAACUCACCCGGGCCGAACACAGUAAGGAUUGACAAAUUGACAGCUUUUUCUUGAUACUGUGGGUAGUGUGCAUGGCCGUUGUUGGUUGGUGGAGUGAUUUGUCUGGUUUAUUCCGAUAACGAACGAGACUCAGACCUACUUACUAGUCGUUAGAUUACUAAAAGGUUUAACAACUACUAAGAGGGAGCAGUGUCAAAAACACUUGAAAAUGAACAAUAACAGGUCUGUGAUUGCCCUUAGACGUUCGGGGCCGCACGCGUGCUACAAUGAAGAAAGCAAUGGGUGUCUUGCUUGGUAAAGCCGGCUUAACCUUAAAAUUUCUUCGUGGCAGGAAUCGAGGCUUGUAAUUAUUCCUCGUGCGCAAGGAACCUUAUCCCUUUCCUUUUUUCCCCUCCCUUUACCUUUAAAAAAAAAAACUUAAACAAACAUUCUCCUUGAUAUCUCACCUGGAAAAAAAAAAAAAAACCUUUCUGUUUAUUUUUAACCCAAGAAUGUUUUACAGAAACCAAGCGGGGGGGCCCCCUUUCUCCUCUUAAAGAGGAAAACUUCAAAUAGGGGUGGACGGUGUAACACCAAGAAUUUGUUCCGGAGGGUUUUUUAUUUCUACACACCACAGGGGAGGAUCACACAAUCAAAUAUCUCCCCAAUUACCCCCUAAAAAAAGCAACAAACCACCGCGCGGGGAUUUUUUUUUUACAUCCAAGGGGGGUGACGAAAAAAAAAUCUUUUUGCCUCCGCGAGAUAUAUUUGCGCUCUAAAAUUUAUCAUAAUAGUAAAAGAAAGGGCCCCCCCCCACAAGGGCUGGUGGUUCCUUUUUUUUUCUCCCCCCAAAGAAAACUCCCCCCCCCAGAACAAAAGAAUAGAAAAAAUAACUAAUUUUUUUUUUUUUUCUUUAAAUUAUUGAGACCUGCCCGUCCUCCCUU